CUCCUGCAGCUCUGAUUGAAAUUAUUGAUUGGUGUGACGGGACAGACACACUGACAGAGAGACAGAGGACACCGUAGGGGAAGAGGACGAGAGAAAACAAUAGGAGACAACAGACAAGAAGAAGGAGAAGAAAGAACCUGAAGUCAACUUUAAAUGUCUGAAGUGGAGGACAGGAACGGAGAAACAUUAAAACAUUGACAAAGGAGGGAGACAAAUUAAUUUGUCUCUAUGGAUGGACAGCUGAGCUGAAGGUCAACAGCCAGAGAGCCGCUCGAAAGCAGCGAGGUGCAGAGGGACAGAAAGGAUUCCUAGCAUGCAGCUGGAUGUGUGUUUGGAGUGCCGCGCCGCAGCCCCACAGCGAGGGGCGGAAGGGCAACACCAGGCUCCGUCCUCCCUCUCCUCCACACUCCAUUAGUGCACCGGGCCCCUCGGACAGCAGCUCACAUCAGCCAGAGAACAAGCGCUUCAUCCACGCCGCGCUAAAUCCACUGUGUCCAAACGCCUCUUUCACUGCUGCCACAGAGAGCCAGUGAGUGCAGCACAAAGGCCCCCAAGUCCCACAGGAGCCAAAGAGCUCCUGCAGCACAGAGAGGAGCAGACCAGGACAUCGACUCUCCCCACCAAACAAGCCACUGUCAGGCUUUACACUCAGUUCAUCAUUCUGCACAGCACAUCACUGUGGUCUAGUGGCUGCAGUGUUACGAGCGCGAGAGGACUGACCGCAGUGUGUAGGCUAGAGUCCUCUGCUAGGAUUAAAGAUGGGGGAAGCAUAUUUAGUGUUGACCUCCUAAAUCUCUGGCCUGCACUGUCUGGUAUUGAUUCUUGUGACAAAAUAUGGGAAAGAAAAUGCAGGGCUGCUGUUUGGGGCAAUAAAUGUGUCCAGUUUCUUCUCCUGUGCUUCCUGCCUGAACG
Long non-coding RNA from Clupea harengus (Atlantic herring), 912 nucleotides. The record is from Ensembl. Lineage: Eukaryota; Metazoa; Chordata; Actinopteri; Clupeiformes; Clupeidae.